RNAcentral lists this ribosomal RNA (497 nucleotides) under uncultured bacterium. RNAcentral describes it as "partial 16S ribosomal RNA". It matches the Rfam family "Bacterial small subunit ribosomal RNA", at positions 28 to 507 of the family's 1533-position model. The record is from RNAcentral.
GAUGAACGCUGGCGGCGUGCCUAAUACAUGCAAGUCGAGCGAACAGACGAGGAGCUUGCUCCUCUGACGUUAGCGGCGGACGGGUGAGUAACACGUGGAUAACCUACCUAUAAGACUGGGAUAACUUCGGGAAACCGGAGCUAAUACCGGAUAAUAUAUUGAACCGCAUGGUUCAAUAGUGAAAGACGGUUUUGCUGUCACUUAUAGAUGGAUCCGCGCCGCAUUAGCUAGUUGGUAAGGUAAAGGCUUACCAAGGCAACGAUGCGUAGCCGACCUGAGAGGGUGAUCGGCCACACUGGAACUGAGACACGGUCCAGACUCCUACGGGAGGCAGCAGUAGGGAAUCUUGCGCAAUGGGCGAAAGCCUGACGGAGCAACGCCGCGUGAGUGAUGAAGGUCUUCGGAUCGUAAAACUCUGUUAUUCGGGAAGAACAAAUGUGUAAGUAACUAUGCACGUCUUGACGGUACCUAAUCAGAAAGCCACGGCUAACUACGUG